AACGAACGCUGGCGGCGCGCCUAAUACAUGCAAGUCGAGCGAGAAGACGUAGCAAUACGUUUGUAAAGCGGCGAACGGGUGAGGAAUACAUGGGUAACCUACCCUCGAGUGGGGAAUAACUAGCCGAAAGGUUAGCUAAUACCGCGUACGCUCCUUGGACUUCGGUUCAGGGAGGAAAGCGAUACCGUGGGUAUCGCGCUCUUGGAUGGGCUCAUGUCCUAUCAGCUUGUUGGUGAGGUAACGGCUCACCAAGGCUUCGACGGGUAGCUGGUCUGAGAGGACGAUCAGCCACACUGGCACUGCGACACGGGCCAGACUCCUACGGGAGGCAGCAGUAAGGAAUAUUGCGCAAUGGGCGAAAGCCUGACGCAGCGACGCCGCGUGGGGGAUGAAGGUCUUCGGAUUGUAAACCCCUUUCGGGAGGGAAGAUGGAACGAGCAAUCGUUCGG
RNAcentral lists this ribosomal RNA (449 nucleotides) under uncultured bacterium. Its description in RNAcentral is "bacterial SSU rRNA". It matches the Rfam family "Bacterial small subunit ribosomal RNA", at positions 29 to 471 of the family's 1533-position model. The record is from RNAcentral.